AAAUAAGAAGCUAUAAAAGCAUUUAAUUUCGACUUAAAUUUUGGGUAUAAAAACUACCCCUUAUUUG
RNAcentral lists this transfer RNA (67 nucleotides) under Thremma gallicum. Its description in RNAcentral is "tRNA-Arg". The record is from RNAcentral. Lineage: Eukaryota; Metazoa; Arthropoda; Insecta; Trichoptera; Uenoidae.